RNAcentral lists this transfer RNA (69 nucleotides) under Leptobrachium guangxiense. RNAcentral's name for it is "tRNA-Val". Lineage: Eukaryota; Metazoa; Chordata; Amphibia; Anura; Megophryidae. The record is from RNAcentral.
ACAGAGUAUAGCUUAAUUAAAGCUUCUUGCUUACACCAAGAUGAUGCCCUAUAAUCAAGGGUUACUCUG